CUAAAAGCAUGAACAAACUAGAGUCCACAUGGAUGAUGCUAUGCGACUAGCCAUGUUUAGGAAAGUAAACACAGCUGUCCAAUGAGGGUACAGGAUAGGGAUCACUCAGUAGCCUAAGCAUAAUAAGGAGGUUGACAAAAACAGGCACUAAAAUAAUAGACUGUAUCAAGUGCUGUGUGCCUUUGAGCUAGCCCUGCGUUGUAAUAUGAGUUUGUGUAUAAGUUUGCUUACAUUUUGGUUCCCCCCUGGAGAAAAAUGCACCAGCCGCCACUGCAUUACAUAAUAAGAUGAUUGACAUCGCUUCAUGCUAUAAUGACAGCUCUUAGAAGAACAUUCUAGAAUUCAAGAUUCCAGAGCAGUGUCUCGUGCGAAAAAGAAAUAGGUAGCGCGUGAGGCCAAGAAUGUGUAAAAGUAAUCCGUUCGGCCCGAAACAUCUGUCAGCCAGGAUGUUUGCUUAUGUGAAAUACACGGACGGAUUUAAGGCUAUUGUAGCUACCUAUAACAAACAUCCAAAACUUCAACCUAAAAACAUAUCAAGCGGACAUCCUCUAUCCCAUUCUUUGGGAAGAAAACAUAUUUCAACGGCCAGGUUCUGCUUGUGAAAGAAACCCAAGAGAUUGAGGACUCAACAUCAAAUCCUCCAAAACGAAUCAGAGUUCCAAGGAUCCAAGAAGAUGUAGUUGAUGUUGAUCAUUGUGAAGGGGAAUCCACAGAAAUGGAUGCUCUCAAAAAGAAAUCGGUAUGUUUUUCUUAUUUUUAAGGAAAAUGUUCUGAAAAAUGCAUCUUCUGCUUCUGCUUCUUCCUCUUCUUCUUCUUCCUGGUGCAUGCUGGGAGAUUUUCGGAGGGUGAAAGAAAGAGAAGACUGGUUGUGGACUUGAAGGGAACGACUUCCUGGCCUUCCUGACAUCCAGGAAAAAGAGGCAGUAGAGAUGUACUGGAAACAGUGGAGAGGGAGAAGAUGCAGCAAAAGGCCCAGCCGGAUGGUUGCUGCUCCGUGUGGAACGUGUUCUCCAGUAUCAGAAAGGAUCAUGCCAGCCCACAUCAAACACCUGAUCAAGAACUUGAGAAUCUUCAGGCAGAAAAGAUGAAAACACCUGUUCAAAGUUCCAGUUCCCUGUACAUCAAACGAUGCCUGUCCUCUGUUCCACAUGUCUUCAGUCAGUCCUGGACCCUAUGACUAGGACACUAGUUCUACCAAGGCUUAAUAGAGAUAAUACAGCUGCACAAUUACAACAGGAACUAAUCUUUAGACGGUUAAUACAGAAGAUCUGCUAAAUUGGAGGAUUCCAAAGCUGAGCUGGAAGGGGAAGUCUCCACCUACAGGACAGCACAUCUAAACAUUCAUUUGGAUAAACUAUUAAACCAGGUAUUUUCACAAAAAGAACAAUCUGAGACCCAGUGUGAGCCUGCACCCUGGACACCCACACACCCCAAUAAUCCCCCUUCAAAGAGCGAGCCGCAUGGGAAGAUUGUUGUCAUUCACUUGCAAGGGGAGAUUCCAGUGCGUCCAGAGGUCUGGGCAAAAAUAAAAAACAACACAAGGGACUCCAUGUUCGUGAAGGAGUUGGCUGUGGCGUUUUGGGGCACCGACACCUUAGGGGAAAGGAGCCUGACUGGAAAGGAAUGCCCCACCACCAAGACCACCAGGCAGCCCCUCACCCUGCAGAAGCUAUGGGGUUUGAAAGCAUGGCUGUACGAGAAAGACGUGGAGGACCAAGAAAUGCUGGCCAGAUUGGCAAAGACCGGAAGAUACAUAACAGAGAAACAUAAUGGAUAUUAACAAGAAAAAGAAAAAAAUACUUUAAACAUUUUUUUUUAUAAUUUCUUUGUUGCUAU
This is a long non-coding RNA of Trematomus bernacchii (emerald rockcod), 1836 nucleotides long. RefSeq lists it as uncharacterized. The transcript is spliced from 9 exons. Lineage: Eukaryota; Metazoa; Chordata; Actinopteri; Perciformes; Nototheniidae. The record is from RefSeq and is a predicted model, not a curated record.